UAGUGGUCUGAUAAAUUAACCUCAGUUUUGGAAGCAAUCUGUAAAAAAAUGCAGCAUCGGUUUCUUCUGAAUUCUAAGCAAACCCCCUGAAGCUGUGUUUUGCACACCUGCCCUCCACUAAAGCAGGAACUGGACAGCCUGUAUUCACCUCCAAACUGCUAGGCAGUAAGUUUAGAAGUGCUGUUUUUGAGCAACGCCAAAGACUUCCACACUGUAAGAGCCUCACAAAAGACCCUGCUGUCCAGGACUGCGGGGACUGCUUGCAGAGGAGCGCAUUUUCCAAAUAAGUCGUAAGAUGAUAUCUCAGUGUCAACAGCAUGAAUCAUCUCCAAGUUUUAGAGUCAGUGACUAUAAAAUGGUACUAUUUUUCUAUGUGCCUGGAUUUGCUAGCCUCACAGCUAAGACGACAGCAGUACAACUCCAUUCAUAUAGGCUUGAAGGCGAAUUGCUUAGCUGGCAUCCUGCCAUACCUACAGCUUCCAGCUAAAGCGGGGAACAGGUUAUUUUUCCUUCCCUUCCGUGGUGAAAAGAUAACGAGAGUUAAGCUUUUACAGAGAACUUGAAAGAAAGCACCUAGGCAUAGCGUGAGGUCUUAAAGAGGGUCGAGAAAAAAAAGUUUCUUAGAAAGAAGUGGGAAAUGACAGCUUGCACGGCAUUUCCCAGCUUUAGGAGCCCGGCCAUCAGCUCCCAAAUGGUGUGCGGAGAGGGGGGGAAUCACUGGGAACUCGCUGAGUGUUUUUUGCUCCAAUGCAACCACGCUACGGCACAGACACCCUCCCGGACACUCCGAGCAGCUCUCAGAAAACUCGCUGCCGUGCUUUACACCGCUGUUCUGCCACAGCAAUAAUAGAGGGCGGGUUGGCAGGCUUCCUGGCCAGCACGGAGCCGCUGCCCGAAGUUACCGUCAGCCUGCCUGCUUGCCUAAAAUGGAAGCCGAGCCGCGGCCGCUGCCACAGCCACAGCCACAGCCCCGCUGCUGGCUACUACGGGAACGGGGAAAGCGCCGCGCCCCGACGGCGAGGCAGGGAAAAGAAGGGUGCUGCGGGGCGAGAAGGGAAGGGAAGGGAAGGGAAGGGAAGGGAAGGGAAGGGGGGGGAAAGCACGGCAGCGGGUUGUCUGGGAGCGGCUCGGAGUGUCCGGGAGGGUGUCUGUGCCGUAGCGUGGUUGCAUUGGAGCAAAAAACACUCAGCGAGUUCCCAGUGAUUCCCCCCCUCUCCGCACACCAUUUGGGAGCUGAUGGCCGGGCUCCUAAAGCUGGGAAAUGCCGUGCAAGCUGUCAUUUCCCACUACUGUCUAAGAAACUUUUUUUUAUCGGAACGGUUGAGAACGGAAGGGAAGGGAAGGGGAGGGGAGUUCAAGUUCUGGGUGGGAGGGGAAGGGAAGGGAAGGGAAGGGAAGGGAAGGGAAGGGGUGCCGCGAUCCGCCGGCGGGGCAGAGAGGGGGACCCCGCCGGCCGCUCCUCACCUCUGCCAGGUGCCAGGAGGGCGAGGAGCGCCGCCAGGAGAAGCCCGCCGCCCCGCAUGGCUGCCGCCCGCCGAGAAGCUCCGCGACCCGGCCCCAGCCCCAGCCCCGAUCCCGGCCACCGCCCAGGCGGGGCGGGACCGAGGCGUAGCGGGGAGCCCCGCCGGCAGCUUUCGGGGCCGCCCCCCGGAGCCUGCGGGGAGCCGCGCCCUACAAGUGGCCCCGUCCCCUCGCCGGGGAGAGCUCCCGGGCUGUGCGCGCCCGCAGCCGGCAGAAACCCCCCUCGCGGGGCUGGUGCCUCUUCCCCAGCCCUCGCAGGGCUUUGCCGGUUGGAAAAGUGGAAGGACACCAAGUUUGUGAAUCACCCUCACCAGUGCGCGAACCGAUGGAAUGCAGAACUAGGAGGGAAAGCCUACUUUACCUCACUGGAAUUGCCACACAUCAUGUCAGGCCCAUGUAGUUUCCUGUUUCCAAAAUUAGACUUCAUUACAGUUAGCAUCUUCAGAUGAGAUAGAAGCAACCUCCUGUUAGGACAGCUGUGAGAUAAUUGCACUUCACGCUGGAGCUCCUCCUAAUUCCUAAUGGUUUUCAGUUGGCUCUACCCUUCAGGCAGUGAUACAGUUUUUUGCCUCUAGUCAUUAUAAAGCUAAUAAAUUUUCCAGAAACACUAAGUUAUUUUUUUUC
This 2145-nucleotide long non-coding RNA is filed under the name Anas platyrhynchos platyrhynchos (common mallard). RNAcentral describes it as "lncRNA (ENSAPLG00000026642.1)". The record is from RNAcentral. Lineage: Eukaryota; Metazoa; Chordata; Aves; Anseriformes; Anatidae.